CGGUAACGCGGGCUUCGGCCUGGCGACGAGUGGCGAACGGGUGAGUAACACAUCGGAACGUAUCCUGGAGUGGGGGAUAGCCCGGCGAAAGCCGGAUUAAUACCGCAUGAGCUCUGAGGAGGAAAGCGGGGGAACCGUAAGGACCUCGCGCUGUUGGAGCGGCCGAUGCCGGAUUAGCUUGUUGGUGAGGUAAAAGCUCACCAAGGCCGCGAUCCGUAGCUGGUCUGAGAGGAUGAUCAGCCACACUGGAACUGAGACACGGUCCAGACUCCUACGGGAGGCAGCAGUGGGGAAUUUUGGACAAUGGGGGCAACCCUGAUCCAGCCAUGCCGCGUGCGGGAAGAAGGCCUUCGGGUUGUAAACCGCUUUCAUACGGAACGAAAUGGUGCAGGUUAAUACCCUGUAUUGAUGACGGUACCGUAAGAAGAAGCACCGGCUAACUACGUGCCAGCAGCCGCGGUAAUACGUAGGGUGCGAGCGUUAAUCGGAAUUACUGGGCGUAAAGCGUGCGCAGGCGGCUUUUUAAGACAGGUGUGAAAUCCCCGGGCUUAACCUGGGAAUGGCGCUUGUGACUGGAAGGCUAGAGUGCGGCAGAGGGGGAUGGAAUUCCACGUGUAGCAGUGAAAUGCGUAGAUAUUGGGAGGAACACCGGUGGCGAAGGCGGCACUCUGGACCGGUACUGACGCUGAGGCGCGAAAGCUAGGGGAGCAAACGGGAUUAGAUACCCCGGUAGUCCUGGCUGUAAACGAUGAGCACUUGGUGUAGCGGGUAUCGACCCCUGCUGUGCCGAAGCUAACGCAU
This 801-nucleotide ribosomal RNA is filed under the name uncultured bacterium. RNAcentral's name for it is "bacterial SSU rRNA". It matches the Rfam family "Bacterial small subunit ribosomal RNA", at positions 67 to 860 of the family's 1533-position model. The record is from RNAcentral.